This 499-nucleotide ribosomal RNA is filed under the name uncultured Glomeromycotina. RNAcentral describes it as "SSU rRNA". It matches the Rfam family "Eukaryotic small subunit ribosomal RNA", at positions 569 to 1074 of the family's 1831-position model. Lineage: Eukaryota; Fungi; Glomeromycota. The record is from RNAcentral.
AGCAGCCGCGGUAAUUCCAGCUCCAAUAGCGUAUAUCAAAGUUGUUGCAGUUAAAAAGCUCGUAGUUGAAUUUCGGGAUUAGUACGCUGGUCAUGCCUUUGGUAUGUACUGGUGUUACUGGUUCCUACCUUCUGAAGAACCGUCAUGUCAUUAAUUUGGUGUGGCGGGGAAUCAGGACUGUUACUUUGAAAAAUUGAGUGUUUAAAGCAGGCUCGCGCUUGAAUACAUUAGCAUGGAAUAAUGAAAUAGGACGUUUGACCCUAUUUUGUUGGUUUCUAGGAUCGACGUAAUGAUUAAUAGGGAUAGUUGGGGGCAUUAGUAUUCAAUUGUCAGAGGUGAAAUUCUUGGAUUUAUUGAAGACUAGCUACUGCGAAAGCAUUUGCCAAGGAUGUUCUCAUUAAUCAAGAACGAAAGUUAGGGGAUCGAAGACGAUCAGAUACCGUCGUAGUCUUAACCAUAAACUAUGCCGACUAGGGAUCGGAUGAUGUUAUUUUAAUGA